UGGGAAUUUUGGACAAUGGGCGCAAGCCUGAUCCAGCAAUGCCGCGUGCAGGAUAAAGGCCUUCGGGUUGUAAACUGCUUUUGUACGGAGCGAAAAGGUCUGCCCUAAUACGGUGGGCUCAUGACGGUACCGUAAGAAUAAGCACCGGCUAACUACGUGCCAGCAGCCGCGGUAAUACGUAGGGUGCAAGCGUUAAUCGGAAUUACUGGGCGUAAAGCGUGCGCAGGCGGUUAUGUAAGACAGAUGUGAAAUCCCCGGGCUCAACCUGGGACCUGCAUUUGUGACUGCAUAGCUAGAGUACGGCAGAGAGGGAUGGAAUUCCGCGUGUAGCAGUGAAAUGCGUAGAUAUGCGGAGGAACACCGAUGGCGAAGGCAAUCCCCUGGGCCUGCACUGACGCUCAUGCACGAAAGCGUGGGGAGCAAAC
RNAcentral lists this ribosomal RNA (425 nucleotides) under uncultured bacterium. RNAcentral describes it as "bacterial SSU rRNA". It matches the Rfam family "Bacterial small subunit ribosomal RNA", at positions 356 to 773 of the family's 1533-position model. The record is from RNAcentral.